RNAcentral lists this ribosomal RNA (1454 nucleotides) under metagenome. RNAcentral describes it as "bacterial SSU rRNA". It matches the Rfam family "Bacterial small subunit ribosomal RNA". The record is from RNAcentral.
AGAGUUUGAUCCUGGCUCUGAGUGAACGCUGGCGGCGUGCUUAACACAUGCAAGUCGAACGGUAACAGAAGAAGUUUGCUUCUUGCUGACGAGUGGCGGAUGGGUGAGUAAUGUAUAGAUAUGUGCCCCAUAGAUUAGGAUAGUCACUGGAAACGGUGAUUAAUACUAGAUAUUUUUUAUGAGGGAAAGUUUUUGUGCUAUGGGAUCGGUCUAUAUGGUAUCAGGUAGUUGGUGAGGUAAGAGCUCACCAAGCCAAUGAUACCUAGCUGGUCUGAGAGGAUGAUCAGCCACACUGGAAUUGAGACACGGUCCAGACUCCUAUGGGAGGCAGCAGUGGGGAAUAUUGCAUAAUGGGGGAAACCCUGAUGCAGCAACGCCGCGUGGAGGAUGAUGUAUUUUGGUGUGUAAACUCCUUUUAUAUGGGAAGAUGAUGAUGGUACCAUAUGAAUAAGCACCGGUUAAUUCCGUGUUAGUAGUCGCGGUAAUACGGAGGGUGCAAGCGUUACUCGGAAUCACUGGGCGUAAAGCGCGCGCAGGCGGGUUUGUAAGUUGGAAGUGAAAUCCACUGGCUUAACCAGUGAACUGCUUCCAAAACUACUAACCUAGAGUGUGGGAGGGGAAGAUGGAAUUAGUUGUGUAGGGGUAAAAUCCGUAGAGAUAAUUAGGAAUAUUAAAAGCGAAGGCGAUCUUCUGGAACACUACUGACGCUGAGGCGCGAAAGCAUGGGGAGUAAACAGGAUUAGAUAUCCUGGUAGUCCAUGCUUUAAACGAUGAAUGUUAGUCGUUGGUAUGCUUGUCAUAUCAGUGAUGCACUUAACAGAUUAAACAUUCCGCCUGGGGAGUACGGUCGUAAGAUUAAAACUCAAAGGAAUAGACGGGGACCCGCACAAGUGGUGGAGCAUGUGGUUUAAUUUGAAUAUAUGUGAAGAAUUUUACCUAGCCUUGAUAUUGAUUGAAUUCGAUAGAGAUAUUGAAGUGCCCUUUUAGGAACAUGAAAAUAGGUGCUGUACGGCUGUCGUCAGCUCGUGUUGUGAGAUGUUGGGUUAAGUUUUGUAACGAGCGUAACCCUCGUGACUAGUUAUUAAUGGUUUGGUUGAGGACUCUAGUCAGACUGCCUUUGUAAGGAGGAGGAAGGUGAGGAUGACGUUAAGUUAUUAUGGCCCUUACGGCUAGGGUGACACACGUGCUACAAUGGUUAGGAUAAUGAGAGGCAAUACCGUGAGGUGGAGCAAAUUUAUAAACCUAAUCUCAGUUUGGAUUGUAGUUUGUAAUUUGACUACAUGAAGCUGGAAUCACUAGUAAUCGUAGAUUAGUUAUGCUACGGUGAAUACGUUCCCGGGUCUUGUACUCACCGCCCGUCACACCAUGGGAGUUGAUUUCACUUGAAGUGGGGAAGUUAAAUUGGUUAUUCUCCACGGUGGAAUUAGCGACUGGGGUGAAGUCGUAAUAAGGUA